Molecule: ribosomal RNA, 445 nt
Filed under: uncultured bacterium
Lineage: Bacteria
Description: partial 16S ribosomal RNA
Rfam family: Bacterial small subunit ribosomal RNA
Source: RNAcentral
GUAGGGAAUAUUGGACAAUGGGCGAAAGCCUGAUCCAGCCAUGCCGCGUGAUAGAUGAAGGCCCUCUGGGUUGUAAAUAUCUUUUAUCUGGGAAGAAACUCCUCUAUUCUUAGAGGCCUGACGGUACCAGAGGAAUAAGCACCGGCUAACUCCGUGCCAGCAGCCGCGGUAAUACGGAGGGUGCAAGCGUUAUCCGGAUUCACUGGGUUUAAAGGGUGCGUAGGCGGGUUGAUACGUCAGUGGUGAAAGCUCCGGGCUUAACUUGGAAACUGCCAUUGAUACGGUCAGUCUUGAAUGUCGUAGAUGUAAGCGGAAUGUUGCAUGUAGCGGUGAAAUGCUUAGAUAUGUUACAGAACACCAAUUGCGAAGGCAGCUUACUAUGCGAUAAUUGACGCUGAGGCACGAAAGCGUGGGGAGCAAACAGGAUUAGAAACCCCUGUAGUCC